Molecule: ribosomal RNA, 434 nt
Filed under: uncultured Pantoea sp.
Lineage: Bacteria; Pseudomonadati; Pseudomonadota; Gammaproteobacteria; Enterobacterales; Erwiniaceae
Description: bacterial SSU rRNA
Rfam family: Bacterial small subunit ribosomal RNA
Source: RNAcentral
AACGCGAAGAACCUUACCUACUCUUGACAUCCACGGAAUUUGGCAGAGAUGCCUUAGUGCCUUCGGGAACCGUGAGACAGGUGCUGCAUGGCUGUCGUCAGCUCGUGUUGUGAAAUGUUGGGUUAAGUCCCGCAACGAGCGCAACCCUUAUCCUUUGUUGCCAGCGAUUCGGUCGGGAACUCAAAGGAGACUGCCGGUGAUAAACCGGAGGAAGGUGGGGAUGACGUCAAGUCAUCAUGGCCCUUACGAGUAGGGCUACACACGUGCUACAAUGGCGCAUACAAAGAGAAGCGACCUCGCGAGAGCAAGCGGACCUCACAAAGUGCGUCGUAGUCCGGAUCGGAGUCUGCAACUCGACUCCGUGAAGUCGGAAUCGCUAGUAAUCGUGGAUCAGAAUGCCACGGUGAAUACGUUCCCGGGCCUUGUACACACCG